RNAcentral lists this small RNA (164 nucleotides) under Streptomyces davaonensis. RNAcentral's name for it is "Streptomyces davawensis c-di-AMP sequence". It matches the Rfam family "c-di-AMP riboswitch aptamer (ydaO/yuaA leader)". From Rfam's summary of the family: This family represents a conserved RNA structure found upstream of the ydaO and yuaA genes in Bacillus subtilis and related genes in other bacteria. The ydaO/yuaA element is thought to act as a genetic "off" switch for the ydaO and yuaA genes in its native state. It is believed that the element may be triggered during osmotic shock leading to activation of ydaO, a predicted amino acid transporter gene, and members of the yuaA-yubG operon which code for KtrA and KtrB K+ transporters. Lineage: Bacteria; Bacillati; Actinomycetota; Actinomycetes; Kitasatosporales; Streptomycetaceae. RNAcentral also lists the same sequence under 1 other name. The record is from RNAcentral.
GGACAGUCAUCGCCGAGUCCCCGUACGGCGCGAGCCAGGGGAGCCGGGGACCCAUCGCAGUCCCUGGGGUGAAUCGGACGCCCGCGCGUAGUGCGAGGGGGUCCGUAGGAGACCUUCCUGCUCCGAACCCGUCAGCUAACCCGGUAGGCGAGAAGGAAGGAAAG